Triticum aestivum (bread wheat) is the source of this 1994-nucleotide RNA transcript. It is a transcript of the gene named lipid droplet phospholipase 1, with no coding region annotated. Lineage: Eukaryota; Viridiplantae; Streptophyta; Magnoliopsida; Poales; Poaceae. The record is from RefSeq and is a predicted model, not a curated record. The transcript has 11 exons.
AAACGGGCUAGUCCACGGACCGAUGUGUAAUGGCGUCGGAUGACAAAUUGCGUCAGGACAGCACGCAAUCUGCGGGCGAUUCGGUGAUUUGAGGGAUGCCCCCACGUGACCCUACCCACGGUAGUCUACGUAGUCGACAUGCCGGAUGCCCUCCGGGGUCAUGUGCCGACAUCCAUGGUGGAUCGGAGGAUGCUAGCGAGCGCGAGACCUGACAGGCACGUCGGUAAAAUGGGCACAGCUCACGGGCACGGGGAUCCACAACCUCCACACACUCCCCCCCUCUCUUCCUCGUUCGCGGGCUGGGCCCCACUUCCCCUCCACGCCGUACGCGGACACGACGCUUCCGUCGCAACCCCCACACCUUUCCGUCCCGCCGGCCCAUCGCCCGCCGCCUCCCUGCGCACCCAGCCGAGGAGACCGCCAUGAUGGCGGGCGCCUCAGGCUCAGUCGAAGAGGAGGGAGGACUGAGGGCGGAGGAGUCCCCGUCCGGCGGCGUCGACGUCUGGAGCGACGCCGUCUCCUCCCACGCCCCGGAACACCUCCUCGUCAUGGUCCACGGCAUCCUCGGCAGUACCAAUGACUGGCAAUACGCAGCCAACGAAUUUGUGAAGCAGCUUCCUGAUGAUGUAAUUGUGCAUUGCAGUGAGAAAAACAUGAACACAUUGACUCUAGACGGUGUCGAUGUUAUGGGAGAACGCUUAGCAGAUGAGGUUCUUGAUGUAAUUAGUCGAAAGCCAGAGCUCACCAAAAUUUCUUUUCUUGCACACUCCGUUGGAGGCUUAGUAGCAAGAUAUGCAAUUGCAAAACUUUAUAGACAUCCAAAUAGCACGUUUGACAGCAAAGCUGAAGGAACCAUAUGCGGGUUGGAAGCGGUGAACUUUAUAACCGUAGCAACGCCUCACCUUGGUUCUCGAGGAAACAAGCAGGUUCCACUCCUCUUUGGAUUCAUUACGAUUGAGAAGGUUGCUUCUCGUGUCAUCCAUUGGAUAUUUAGGAGAACUGGGAGACAUCUUUUUCUUACUGAUAGUGCUGAGGGAGAACCGCCACUGUUGCAGCGUAUGGUUGAAGAUUAUGGCAAUCUUUACUUUAUAUCUGCUUUGCGAGCAUUUAAACGACGAGUGGCAUAUGCUAAUGCUGGUUGCGACCACAUUGUUGGCUGGAGAACAUCAUCUAUUAGAAGAAACACCGAGCUGCCUAAGUGGGAGGAAUCUGUAUGUGAGAAGUAUCCUCACAUUGUACAUGAGGAAUACUCUGAAGAAAUCAGCGAUGAGAAGUGUCAAGAUUUGGCAGCAGAUUGCGAUUUUGACUUACUGGAAGGUAUGUGUCCGUAAACCUGGUUUGUUGACUCUAUAAUGUGGAAGUUAAGACUUGGAAGGUUAGUCACAACUAAUUGGCAAGCAAGUUAUCUGUUCACAGUUCAUUGUUGGUAUUCAACAGUCAACAUUCAACUUGAUGACUGCAAUCUUGGUGGGGCACUAAAUAGAAAAAAUGGUGACAGGGCUGAGACGCGUUUCAUGGGAAAAGGUAGAUGUUAGCUUCCACACGAGCAUGCGGAGUUUCGCAGCGCACAGCAUUAUCCAGGUCAAGUAUGCGUUUAUGAACGAAGGAGCGGACGUCAUACAGCACAUUAUAGACCACUUCCAGCUCUGAGAAUUUCCUUGGCAAUGCCACUAGCAAUGCAACCUGAAGCUCCAGACUGAAGAGGCUGUCCUACCUCUACUUACACACAUUAGUGACUCGAGAAGAAAACCGCAGUCAGCCCACAGCCACAGGGGAGGCCCGGUAGUAUCAAGUUAGAUCUAGAUUGUUAAUUUAUUGCUUAACGGUGUGUAACAGUGCGUUGUAAUGACUGUAUAUAAGAGUAAGUGCCACGAAUUGCUCCGUGCCGUCCGUUGCAAAGAAAGAUCACGUCGGAACGGAGAAAACAACACCAUCCUUGUUGGACACAUGUAUCGUUAUUAUGUGCCUUGUCACCAAUCUCACAUGUGACACUA